Ictalurus punctatus (channel catfish) is the source of this 4292-nucleotide long non-coding RNA. The record is from Ensembl. NCBI's taxonomy places the organism in Eukaryota, Metazoa, Chordata, Actinopteri, Siluriformes, Ictaluridae.
UAAACCGUGUAAAAUAUUUUGAGCUUGUGUUCACCACAGGCCUUAUUUCAGGCUUUUAACCAAAAUCCCAUAAAAAAUAAAAAACGAUUGACUUCGAGACCAUGGAACCGGAAGGGCUAAAAUGCUAACUCUGUUUCCGGGUUUGGCGUUCUAAAAUGAUGUCAUCCCUGCGCCACUCUUUGGUGACUGGCUGUAAGUUUAGGAAGUGCUUGAUUUGAUCUGCAGCGGAGUUUCCUCUGAGCCGAGGACGAACUUUCAACGUCAAUAUCGCAGUCGAUCAUGUUCAUGUAAUCGUUGGCAGGCAAAAUCGUAAUCGAGAUCAAUAUUCGAUUAAUUGUGCUACUACCCGCUCACAAGAAUGAAACAUGGUGAGACAUGACUUGUUACCUGCUAGUGUAAACUCACAUAUAGGGAUCCAAGCACUGAUCCUGAAAUCCAGUUUUCCCUUUAAUUUAGAAUAAUAAUGGUGCAAAUGCUAUAAAAAUUAUUGCCUUUUGAGCACUUUGAUGAUAGCAGCCCUUUUGCUUUACAGUUUCUGUUUGCUAUAACGAUAAUUAUUUUUUACGUGGUUUAUUCUGUUUUCCUUCACAUAAUCUUGUCUUUUUUAAGACAUUACUUUCUUAUUUUUAAAGCUAUUUAUUAAGGUAUUUAUGUUUUUUGCCAUUUAUAAAUGUUUUAAAGCACUUGGAGCUCUAUUUGAAAUGCCUGGAACUAUAUAAAUAACAGUUCUCAUAAUAAUGAAGUUCAAUGCGUCUCUUCAUUCCAAGGACGGAUAAUCUCAUCACGAUCCUGAUGCGUCGUGACCGCGUCGAUUCUCUUCCCGCUGGUGUUUACAGGGUUGUCGACCCCCUGAACACGGUGACUGAACAUGAAGGGCACACCAAUUCAGCGCCAACACUGGCACAGCGUUCGAGCACGAAACAGCAAACCCGUGCCUCGGAGAAUAAAAAGGUGCGACUGUGGAGUGUUACCAUGGCAACAGGGCACUGACAAAUUAGCAAACAAUAAAUAAACAAGUGAAAAAAUAAGUAACCAAGUACAUAACUAAUUUGGGCAAAGGUGUGGGUGGAUCUUUAGAGGCUUGUAUAACAAAUAAAUCAAUAGUUAAUUAAAUUCAGAACUACUGUGUCAUUUUAAUUUGCUUUUGCUAGUUUGUUUUUCAUUUUAUGCAACAGCAAUAAUAAUGAUAAUAAUAAAAUAAUAAUAAUAAUGUGAUUGCCUAUAUCAUCACGUUAUAUUAUUAAUAUUGAUAUUAAAAUGAUUGUUUUUACUGUUGUAUGCUUGUCGUCAAUAUUAUUACUUCGAUUUUUAAGCCUGCCAUUAAUUACAUUAAAAUCUUUUAACUUAUAAACAAGUGCAUGAACAGACCAGGGCAAAAGUUUACACACCCAUAGGAAUAUAUAUCAUUUACACAAAGCUGUUUAGCAUGUUAAGAAAGAAACAGCGAGGUAGCCUAUCACAAGUAAUAAAAAUUAUUUUUAAAAAGUGGUGUAUAUUAUAACAAAAAAACAAAACAAAAAACUAAGCUUGAAAAAAUUAAAUAAUAAAUAAAUUAAUAUGUGGCAAAAGUUGACUAAAAGAUCAGUUCAAAUUCUCAAGUGUCAACUUUCAGUAUACGUAAAUUAUGAAAUUAAUUAAGAGAGAAAUGGGGGGGGCGGGGUAUGACGGUCCUGAGGUAUGAAUUUAAAGAUUAAAGCAAGUACAAAACAGUUUUAUUUAACUGUUCAUUUAUUUAGAAAAAAAAACAACUUUACAUUAGAACAAAUACUUCAGAAAAACCUUGAGUGUUUAAUAGCAUUUGCUACUAAAUUAAAAUUCUACUGACAUGAAAAUCGUGAUAAAGUACAUUAAGCCAUGAUUUUAUGAACAGAAAAGAAAUAUCUGUAGGUGAAAUGCCAAGUUCUCUGUUCACAGCAGUUCAUAUGAAAUGUCUGGAAUUUUCCGCCUUUUCCAUUUAACCCACUGUGCUAGGCUAGUUGUGUUUGACCUGCAAACGUUUCAGCAGAGGAGUUUUCUUCCUGGCAUAAAGAAACGGCAGAUUAGGACACGACGUGAAAAAAUGUCAAACCAUCAGCUUCUAUUAAAGUAACACCAAAAAGGAUAUUUUUCAAAAUAAAACUUUCCAGAACUAUUGAUCAUCCAGGUCAUGUGUGACGCUAUAAUUAUUUAUCUGUAACAUAAUAUAGCUCAAAUCUGCCAUGCAGUUAUAGAAAAUGAUCCCUGUUAUUGAUUAUUUUCCUAUAACAGUAUGUUUUAACCCUGAGUGCGUUGUUCCUUACGUAUUUCACACAAUCCACGUCUUUGCCUGAAGAUGAAACUGCGUAGAUGGGUUUUUGCACUGGCGUUAAGAAAUGUUUGAUCUUCUUCUACAUAAUUCAGUUCGUCAGAUGAGAGAGCAAUGAAUGUUAGCAUAAUGCUAACUCGGCACAAGUGGAUAAUCUAGAAAAAAGGAGGAAUCGUAGUACUGUAACCCCGGAAACUACGACAUCGUUCCUAAAUCCGGCUUUAAAACGUGCCACCCCAAUCCCGUUCCAUUUUUACGCCGAAUACAAUGAACUUGACGCACGUUUACGUCUGAAAUCCUUUAAUAGCCUUUAAGAGAAAAUGACACCGUGUCAUGAAAACCAGGAACAUCAUGAAAGUAGGAAGAAAAAAAAUGAGGUAGAACCAUCGAACAAGUAAACCAAGGAAAAUAAACACACACCUUUGAGAAGAUUGAUGUGAAAGUGGACCGCUGAGGAAAUGGAUCAUACUUUCUGCACAGCCUCGGAAAUGAUCUAAAACAUGAGCAGAUGUAAAACGGCGUCUGAAACGUUCCGAGCAGUAGCGUGUUCACGUAGUGUUUCGGUUAUCCAAUCGGAUUGUAAACUUCUCCUUCCGUAUGUACAAUCUCUACUGACUAAAUUUCCCAUGGGUCCUCACUGUUUAAAAUUUGAGCAAAAUUGCACAAUUCCAGCUCACUGUUUACUUCAACAGCAGCAUUUUUUGUGCGUGCUUGUACUCAAACCAAGGGUUAGAUUGGUUUAAAUAACAGACAAUAAACCGAAUCCCCAAAGUGCUCAUUUUGUUCCCUUUUCACACUUUAUACAACCGAAGAAUCAAACGUAAUAAAAGGCGAUAAAAAUGGAUGCUUGUUUGAAAUAUACAGUUUUCGACAGUGCUAUAAACGGUUUUUACAGACCAGAAGUUUGUGCACACCUGACCAUCAGACCCGUAUGUGCUUGUUCAACUUCCCGUUCCAGAUUUGCAGUUAUGAUGUGCUCCACUCUUCUGGGAAGGAUUUCCAAUUAAUUUUGGGGUGUAUCUGUGGGGAUUUGUUUUCAUUCGGUCAGCUAUAAGAGCGUUUGUGAGGUCUUGUAUGCGUGUUUCGGAUAUCGUGAUGAAUUCUAAAAUCAUACAUUCAUUUAACGGAAACCUUUGCAACUCUAAAUUGACUAACUCAGCUAACACGGAGCUGAUUGGACGUUAAAAUGCACAUGUAUACGGGUUUGAAUACGCAGUUUGUUUUUUUUACUCCCCGCUUAAAAACAAACAAACAAAAAAAAAACAUUCCUGUCCACUUCAACACCUUCAUGAUAAACCGCAAAAACAUGAGCAGCAGGUGGCAAUAUAUGUGACGUAACGAAUGCACAUAAAAAAAAAAAAGCCACCUCUAGAGUAACGUAAAGAGCUGCGUAGAGAAGGUCGAAACACUGAAAAACAACAUGGCCGCAUCAGAACGACGCCAGAAGUGCCUGUUUUCAAAAAGCCGUGAAUUCGGUGACUUGAGGAUUUCACGUGGACAGAAAACGUUUGAAUAAAAAAUAAAAACAUACGAUUUCAAAAAUUUCCUUACGCAUGUGGACUGUUUGUUAAUUUUUUUCACUGUUGCAUAGAAAUAUACUUUUAAAAUUCAGAUUGCACUUUUUUUAAAGCACAUUUAAAUAUCAUGAUAUAGGUCACAUGUUUUUGCCAUGUAGUUCGCUCGUGUGUGUAUAUAUAUAUAUAUAUAUAUAUAUAUAUAUUACACACAGGCAUACCUGAUGUCUGGGACAAUCCUAUGUUUUUUGACCAAAGAAAUCUUGUGGACAAUGAACAUAUAAUUGAUACAUGCAUAUUUUACGAUAUGCACAUUUUCACAAAUCCCUACACAAAAAUAAAAUGUCGUCAAAUAUAGAAACCUGGCUCUUUUUUUUUUUUUGCAUGUGAGGAAACAAGAUAAGUGAGGAUUCAGUUCAAAUUGUGUGAAACUGCCAAAAAUUAAAUAAGGCACAGGAGUAAGCUCAUGAACCAGGAGGCUGUUGCGCAGCCAA